This 249-nucleotide unclassified non-coding RNA is filed under the name Hevea brasiliensis (rubber tree). Lineage: Eukaryota; Viridiplantae; Streptophyta; Magnoliopsida; Malpighiales; Euphorbiaceae. The record is from RNAcentral.
GAAAUAAACAAUUCAGUUCCUCAAGGCUUAAGCAGCUCUAUAUUCACUCGCCGACCAGAAAUUAUCUUCAAGUGGAUCGGGCCACAUGGCAGUGAUUGUGGUAUUGUGAAUGUAAAUAUACCUACAAAUGGUGCUGAAAUUGGUGGGGCUUUUGGUGGUGAAAAAGCCACUGGAGGUGGCCGAGAAGCAGGAAGUGACUCCUGGAAACAGUACAUGAGGCGAUCCACUUGUACAAUCAACUAUGGGAGU